AGUGAACGCUGGCGGCAGGCCUAACACAUGCAAGUCGAGCGGCAGCGGGUCGUAGCAAUACGAUGCCGGCGAGCGGCGGACGGGUGAGGAAUACAUCGGAAUCUACCCAGUCGUGGGGGAUAACGUAGGGAAACUUACGCUAAUACCGCAUACGACCUGAGGGUGAAAGCAGGGGACCGCAAGGCCUUGCGCGAUUGGAUGAGCCGAUGUCGGAUUAGCUAGUUGGUGAGGUAAAGGCUCACCAAGGCGACGAUCCGUAGCUGGUCUGAGAGGAUGAACAGCCGCACUGGAACUGGGACACGGUCCAGACUCCUACGGGAGGCAGCAGUGGGGAAUAUUGGACAAUGGGCGCAAGCCUGAUACAGCCAUGCCGCGUGUGUGAAGAAGGCCUUCGGGUUGUAAAGCACUUUUGUCCGGGAAGAAAUCUUCCGACCUAAUACGUCGGGAGGAUGACGGUACCGGAAGAAUAAGCACCGGCUAACUUCGUGCCAGCAGCCGCGGUAA
RNAcentral lists this ribosomal RNA (504 nucleotides) under uncultured bacterium. RNAcentral's name for it is "partial 16S ribosomal RNA". It matches the Rfam family "Bacterial small subunit ribosomal RNA", at positions 29 to 523 of the family's 1533-position model. The record is from RNAcentral.